GACGAACGCUGGCGGCGUGCUUAACACAUGCAAGUCGAACGGAAAGGCCCUGCUUUUGUGGGGUGCUCGAGUGGCGAACGGGUGAGUAACACGUGAGUAACCUGCCCUUGACUUUGGGAUAACUUCAGGAAACUGGGGCUAAUACCGGAUAGGAGCUCCUGCUGCAUGGUGGGGGUUGGAAAGUUUCGGCGGUUGGGGAUGGACUCGCGGCUUAUCAGCUUGCUGGUGGGGUAGUGGCUUACCCAGGCUUUGAAGGGUAGCCGGCCUGAGAGGGUGACCGGCCACAAUGGGACUGAGAUACGGCCCAGACUGCUACGGGAGGCAGCAGUGGGGAAUAUUGCACAAUGGGCGGAAGCCUGAUGCAGCAACGCCGCGGGCGGGAUGACGGCCUUCGGGUUGUAAACCGCUUUCGCCUGUGACGAAGCGUGAGUGACGGUAAUGGGUAAAGAAGCACCGGCUAACUACGUG
Molecule: ribosomal RNA, 468 nt
Filed under: uncultured bacterium
Lineage: Bacteria
Description: partial 16S ribosomal RNA
Rfam family: Bacterial small subunit ribosomal RNA
Source: RNAcentral